CUGGGAGUAGAAUGCUUCGCGCGAAUCAACUGAGCCGUGUGGAGGGCGGGGCCUAAAGGAAGAGGUCCUAAUGUGGUUGGUCACUUUAGUGGCCAUUUCAGGAUGUGAAAGUGACCUCUGCAGUAACAUCCCUGCUUCUGCCAACUGGUUUUCGGUGGUUUUUUCCUUCGAAAACCAAAAGAAUAUGAAAAUACCAUCACAAGUGCUUUCUAACAUUCACCCUCCAACAGAUGCAUAGGAGAGCAACUUCAGGAUAACAUCUUGCCCAAGCAGCCAGGCGCUGAAUCACCAACCUCCUGAUUAGUAGAUCUGAUCUGCUC
Long non-coding RNA from Oreochromis aureus, 320 nucleotides. RefSeq lists it as uncharacterized. NCBI's taxonomy places the organism in Eukaryota, Metazoa, Chordata, Actinopteri, Cichliformes, Cichlidae. The transcript has 3 exons. The record is from RefSeq and is a predicted model, not a curated record.